This 30-nucleotide non-coding RNA is filed under the name Rattus norvegicus (Norway rat). Lineage: Eukaryota; Metazoa; Chordata; Mammalia; Rodentia; Muridae. The record is from RNAcentral.
UCACUGCUUAGCAAAUGAAGACUUUUCCAU